UACGGGGGGAGCAAGCGUUGUUCGGAUUUACUGGGCGUAAAGGGCGCGUAGGCGGCCACCGCAAGUCGACUGUGAAAUCUCCGGGCUUAACUCGGAAAGGUCAGCCGAUACUGCGGGGCUAGAGUGCAGAAGGGGCAACUGGAAUUCUCGGUGUAGCGGUGAAAUGCGUAGAUAUCGAGAGGAACACCUGCGGCGAAGGCGGGUUGCUGGGCCGACACUGACGCUGAUGCGCGAAAGCCAGGGGAGCGAACGGG
RNAcentral lists this ribosomal RNA (254 nucleotides) under uncultured bacterium. RNAcentral describes it as "partial 16S ribosomal RNA". It matches the Rfam family "Bacterial small subunit ribosomal RNA", at positions 524 to 776 of the family's 1533-position model. The record is from RNAcentral.